UCAAUGCCUGCACCAAGCUACUUGAUGGGAUAUUACUUCUCAAAUGAUGCUAAACCCAGUAAUUCAGAGCUAGAGAUUAUAUCCAGCUUUCAAAAGGACAACAGCUUCCCAAAACUUGUACAAGACAUGGGAAUGCGUUUAAUUGACAAAGAACAAAGCGAAGUUACACUUGAUCACUUGGAAGGCUGGUUUGUGGAAAGGUUGGAUGAAAAAAGACAUUCACGACCAGAACACUUUCCAAAAUAUAUCAAUAUACAUCAUGCAGUCCGCUAUCGGCAAGAAGCAGCAUCCAGAUAAAGAUCAAACAAGCCUUUGGACUUAAAGCUAGUGGAUAUUAUGUAAAUAUGUUAGCCAGAGUCCUUAAGGGAGCUGCAAGCAUGCAUUUGCCUGAGUUACCUCAACAAUGGGCAGGAGAAGAAAAAUUUCUAACAAGCCAACUUGAUUUUACAAGUCUACAGAGAUCACCAUGGUGGACUGAUCCAUCUGUGGUGUUACACCCUUAUCUUGAUCAUCAUAGUGUGCUUUUAAUUCAAAUAUUUGGCCUGAAUGCUAUUUAUGUUCCGGAUCCAAGUGGACAGAGACCAGGAAAAGUAAUAUCUCACCCUGGUCAGAUCCUGGAGCUUAAUACACAAUCACGGUUAGGCUGGACUGCUGUUCCACUCUUUGACAGUGACUAUGUGAAGAGUGGUGUGCACAGUGCUCCGUUGUUUCGGGGUUCUCCAAGUGCAGAAUUUCUCCAGUCUGUAAUCUCUCUGCCAGUGAAAGAUGUUAUGUCUGAAGGUAUAAAGAAAAAGACAUUAAAACUUUUGCCAACUUUUGGCAGUGUUACUCUUGAGUUUUGGGAUGGUCAUUACUUUGAAGAGGAGCAUUAUGAGCUACCUGUUCUAAACAACCUUCUAACUGUUGCCAACACAAAGAAAUUUGUGGACACUCAAGCAAACAAGAGAGGCCAGGAGCUGUCACAGCUAGUUCUGCACAGUAUGGAUAAAAAAAUAAGAAAAUUGGGACGACAUAGCCCUGAAUAUUAUCAACAAGAGUAUUUCUAUAAAGAAGCAAUGGGAAACGCUUUUUACAGUCUUGUGAAAAUAACAUCAAGUAUAAACGCUUCGUAGAAUCAUAGAAAUGUAAGACCGGAAGGGCCCUCAAGAACUUAUCAACUCCAGCCCCCUGCUGAGCCAGGACCAAGUAAACCUUGACCAUCCCUGACAGGAAACAGUCCUCUUGAAUGCAGGUUAUGGUCAUCUAUGAGCUUUCCCUUCAAAGGUGAAGAAUAUUGGGUAUCAGAAUGAUCAAAUUCUUGAACUGGAUCAAACAUAUUUUCAAGCUCUACCUAAAACUAAAUAACAAUAUCUUUGGAGAGCAUCAGCCUGGAGCCUUGCUUCCUAUAAUCAUUGAAGGGCUGAAGGUAUCCCCUAACUCCCCCUUCCAGCUUAUUGACUCACUUUGUCAGUAGUUUGUGUGUUAUGAGAAGAUAUCAUUCUUUAGAAUCAGAACAAGGAAAGGAACAUUGUUUGCACUGAGAGAAUCCUAGAGAUGACAGUUCUUUUUUUCUAAAGCAUUCAGUGUGUAAUUGCUGAAGACAUUCCAAGCCAUUCUAAUGAAGUGUACUGUCUGCCAGUCUGUGUGCUCUUCCUAGAGAACCAUCUGUUACACCUCAAAUAUCUAAAGGUCUGCCAUCAUUUAUUGCACCUAACAAAUCAGUUUCUUUGUCUGACAUGCAGUAACUUGUGAAUGUGGCCUCCUAGAAGGUAGUUUGUUACCAUGCAAAGCACAGGAUCUUCUGUAUGUUGUUGCCGUAUAAAAACGUUUUUCAUGACUCAUCAUAGCAAAUUUCUGAUAUCAGACCUACUGAUUAGAUUUUUAAUUUACUUGAUAACAUAUAUAAAUACUAAAAAAUCCUGAAUGAUUUUUUUCUUUACUCAAUCAUUGUUACAUCAUACGCUUUUUCUUUUGGUAAACCAAACCUUUCUUCGUAAUGCUCUGUACGUCUUGUGUAUAAAGGCAACAUGGCCUUAUUGUAAUUUGAUUUACUGUUCCUUUAAUUAGAUUAUUUGUAGCUGAA
RNA transcript from Gopherus evgoodei (Goodes thornscrub tortoise), 2062 nucleotides. RefSeq lists it as uncharacterized. The record is from RefSeq and is a predicted model, not a curated record. Lineage: Eukaryota; Metazoa; Chordata; Testudines; Testudinidae. The transcript has 10 exons.